RNAcentral lists this ribosomal RNA (253 nucleotides) under uncultured bacterium. Its description in RNAcentral is "partial 16S ribosomal RNA". It matches the Rfam family "Bacterial small subunit ribosomal RNA", at positions 524 to 776 of the family's 1533-position model. The record is from RNAcentral.
UACGUAGGGGGCAAGCGUUGUCCGGAAUUAUUGGGCGUAAAGGGCUCGUAGGCGGUUUGUCGCGUCGGGAGUGAAAACUCAGGGCUUAACCCUGAGCCUGCUUCCGAUACGGGCAGACUAGAGGUAUGCAGGGGAGAAUGGAAUUCCUGGUGUAGCGGUGAAAUGCGCAGAUAUCAGGAGGAACACCGGUGGCGAAGGCGGUUCUCUGGGCAUUACCUGACGCUGAGGAGCGAAAGUGUGGGGAGCGAACAGG